Molecule: ribosomal RNA, 638 nt
Filed under: uncultured Corticiales
Lineage: Eukaryota; Fungi; Basidiomycota; Agaricomycetes
Description: eukaryotic LSU rRNA
Rfam family: Eukaryotic large subunit ribosomal RNA
Source: RNAcentral
GAGCUCAAAUCAGGUAGGACUACCCGCUGAACUUAAGCAUAUCAAUAAGCGGAGGAAAAGAAACUAACAAGGAUUCCCCUAGUAACUGCGAGUGAAGCGGGAAAAGCUCAAAUUUAAAAUCUGGCGGUCUUUGGCCGUCCGAGUUGUAAUCUAGAGAAGCGUCUUCCGCGCCGAGCCGUGUACAAGUCUCUUGGAACAGAGCAUCAUAGAGGGUGAGAAUCCCGUCUCUGACACGGACUUCCGGUGCUAUGUGAUGCGCUCUCGACGAGUCGCGUUGUUUGGGAAUGCAGCGCUAAACGGGUGGUAAAUUCCAUCUAAAGCUAAAUAUUGGCGAGAGACCGAUAGCGAACAAGUACCGUGAGGGAAAGAUGAAAAGCACUUUGGAAAGAGAGUUAAACAGUACGUGAAAUUGUUGAAAGGGAAACGCUUGAAGUCAGUCGCGUCGGGCGGGACUCAGCCUCACUUCUGUGUGGUGUACUUCCCGUUCGACGGGCCAGCGUCGAUUUCGACCGUCGGAAAAAGUUCAGGGGAAUGUGGCACCCUCGGGUGUGUUAUAGCCUCUGUUCGCAUACGGCGGUUGGGAUCGAGGACCGCAGCACGCCUUCUGGCCGGGGUUCGCCCACGUACGUGCUAGAUGC